GUGCUAGUAGCUCAGUUGGAUAGAGCAAUGGUCUUCUAAACCAUUUGUCCCGGGUUCGAGCCCCGGCUGGCACA
This 74-nucleotide transfer RNA is filed under the name Lacticaseibacillus camelliae DSM 22697 = JCM 13995. RNAcentral's name for it is "Lactobacillus camelliae DSM 22697 = JCM 13995 tRNA". It matches the Rfam family "tRNA". From Rfam's summary of the family: Transfer RNA (tRNA) molecules are approximately 80 nucleotides in length. Their secondary structure includes four short double-helical elements and three loops (D, anti-codon, and T loops). Lineage: Bacteria; Bacillati; Bacillota; Bacilli; Lactobacillales; Lactobacillaceae. The record is from Rfam by way of RNAcentral.